Molecule: ribosomal RNA, 250 nt
Filed under: uncultured bacterium
Lineage: Bacteria
Description: partial 16S ribosomal RNA
Rfam family: Bacterial small subunit ribosomal RNA
Source: RNAcentral
AACGUAGGAGGCGAGCGUUAUCCGGAUUUACUGGGCGUAAGCGUACGCAGGCGGCUUCGUAAGUUGGGCGUGAAAGCUCCUGGCUUAACUGGGAGAGGCCGUUCGAUACUGCGGGGCUUGAGGUUGGGAGAGGGGUGUGGAAUUCCCGGUGUAGUGGUGGAACGCGUAGAUAUCGGGAGGAACACCAGUGGCGAAGGCGGCACCCUGGCCCACACCUGACGCUGAGGUGCGAAAGCGUGGGGAGCAAACA